Molecule: ribosomal RNA, 253 nt
Filed under: uncultured bacterium
Lineage: Bacteria
Description: partial 16S ribosomal RNA
Rfam family: Bacterial small subunit ribosomal RNA
Source: RNAcentral
UACAGAGGGUGCAAGCGUUGUUCGGAAUCAUUGGGCGUAAAGGGCGUGUAGGCGGUUUGUUAAGUCAUGUGUGAAAUCCCUCGGCUCAACCGGGGAACGACGCUUGAAACUGGCAAGCUAGAGUACCAAAGAGGGCGGUGGAAUUCCCGGUGUAGCGGUGAGAUGCGUAGAUAUCGGGAGGAACACCUGUGGCGAAGGCGGCCGCCUGGUUGGAUACUGACGCUGAGACGCGAAAGCGUGGGGAGCGAACGGG